RNAcentral lists this ribosomal RNA (253 nucleotides) under uncultured bacterium. RNAcentral's name for it is "partial 16S ribosomal RNA". It matches the Rfam family "Bacterial small subunit ribosomal RNA", at positions 524 to 776 of the family's 1533-position model. The record is from RNAcentral.
UACGUAGGGUGCGAGCGUUAAUCGGAAUUACUGGGCGUAAAGCGCGCGUAGGCGGCUUUGCAAGUCGGGUGUGAAAUCCCCAGGCUUAACCUGGGAACUGCAUUCGAGACUGCAUUGCUAGAGUAUGGGAGAGGGAAGUGGAAUUUCCGGUGUAGCGGUGAAAUGCGUAGAUAUCAAGAGGAACACCUGAGGUGAAGACGGGUUGCUGGGCUGACACUGACGCUGAGGCGCGAAAGCCAGGGGAGCAAACGGG